GAAGAGUCAGAAACAGUCAGAAUUUUUUUAGGCAGUCUAAUCUAAAAAUCUAGGCCUAAGAAAAAUUAUGAGUCUUUUAUUAAUUUAAUCAUUUUCGUGAAUAGAUAAUCUGUCAAUCCAGCCAGCUCCACCCGAAGUAUAGGAGCAGACAACGAAACUUGGCAGAACUUAGAAUAUGCCACCUGAUGGCUAUAUUAGGACCGUGUGCGCACCGGUGAAAAUCAGAGUCUCGUAAUAGAGGAAUAUUCAAUGAUUGGGCCUUGGUCGAGCAUAGCUUUCUGGGACUAUGGAAGUCUGAUUUGCCGGAGAAAGGUUCAUGGUCGAGCAUUUCUCUCUAGGUACCGGCUAUAUUGGUAUUUUAGUGACUAGACUGGACUUAAGGACCCUGGUCAAACUUUCCUCUCUGAGUACCAGUCUUAUUAGAUUAAGAGAGUCGAAAGGCUACUAGAAUUGGAGGUUUAGGAUUCUGCUGUAGUACUCGUCUCGUGUGUAUUAAAAUUAUAUGUUCUUUUAAAAUUACGAUGUGACACACAUUUAUUAUUUUGAGAUAUUUUAUACUAUUAAAUAAUUAUUUUAUAUUUUUGGUUGCUUAAAUUCAAAGUACAUGAUUUUAACUAACUCUCGAGACUGACACUCUUAAUUUUAAUUUUUUAGGUGACAACUAGAUUCUCCGUAGACUUUCUCUUGGCAGCCCGACUUCCUUCCCCAUUCGGGCUUAUUAUAAUUAAAUUCUAACUAUUGCACUUCGAAUUAUUUGGAAUUCUAAACUCUCCAUAGUAGUGGACUUGGAACUUUACAUUUUAUCUUAGUCUGUUAAAAUUAUAAGAGAAUUAUCUAGUAAUCUAGCUGAUGGAUUAAUUUGAUUAUAUGGUGAUUAUGUGAAUGAAUUAUUAUUGGUUUAUUUA
Ricinus communis (castor bean) is the source of this 905-nucleotide long non-coding RNA. RefSeq lists it as uncharacterized. The transcript is spliced from 2 exons. Lineage: Eukaryota; Viridiplantae; Streptophyta; Magnoliopsida; Malpighiales; Euphorbiaceae. The record is from RefSeq and is a predicted model, not a curated record.